Molecule: transfer RNA, 71 nt
Filed under: Loxodonta africana (African savanna elephant)
Lineage: Eukaryota; Metazoa; Chordata; Mammalia; Proboscidea; Elephantidae
Rfam family: tRNA
About the family: Transfer RNA (tRNA) molecules are approximately 80 nucleotides in length. Their secondary structure includes four short double-helical elements and three loops (D, anti-codon, and T loops). Further hydrogen bonds mediate the characteristic L-shaped molecular structure. tRNAs have two regions of fundamental functional importance: the anti-codon, which is responsible for specific mRNA codon recognition, and the 3' end, to which the tRNAs corresponding amino acid is attached (by aminoacyl-tRNA synthetases). tRNAs cope with the degeneracy of the genetic code in two manners: having more than one tRNA (with a specific anti-codon) for a particular amino acid; and 'wobble' base-pairing, i.e. permitting non-standard base-pairing at the 3rd anti-codon position.
Source: Rfam by way of RNAcentral
GCAGUGGUGGUUCAGUGGUAGAAAUCUCACCUUCCAUGUGGAAGACCUGGGUUCAAUUCCCAGCCAAUGCA